UCUUGUUCUUGUCAUUCUAUGGGGAGGCAUGAUAACCUUGUAGUAGUAAAACCUUAUUAGAUUCAUUGAUCUAUUUGUUAGGAUGGAUUUAUUAUGAUGCUCAUACUCUAACGUCCCAAUAUUCCUAAUGUCUACCCACCUACACUCAUAUUAUGUUAAAUUCUGUGUCAUAAUUUAUCCACUUAUGCUCUGAUACCAUAU
RNAcentral lists this long non-coding RNA (201 nucleotides) under Elaeis guineensis (African oil palm). Its description in RNAcentral is "long non-coding RNA (EGUI_LNC026631)". The record is from RNAcentral. Lineage: Eukaryota; Viridiplantae; Streptophyta; Magnoliopsida; Arecales; Arecaceae.